AUUGAACGCUGGCGGCAGGCUUAACACAUGCAAGUCGAGCGGUAACAGAGAGAAGCUUGCUUCUCUGCUGACGAGCGGCGGACGGGUGAGUAAUGCCUAGGAAUCUGCCUAGUAGUGGGGGAUAACUUGCCGAAAGGUAAGCUAAUACCGCAUACGUCCUACGGGAGAAAGGCGGGGACCUUCGGGCCUUUCGCUAUUAGAUGAGCCUAGUUCGGAUUAGUUAGUUGGUGGGGUAAUGGCUCACCAAGACCGCGAUCCGUAACUGGUCUGAGAGGAUGAUCAGUCACACUGGAACUGAGACACGGUCCAGACUCCUACGGGAGGCAGCAGUGGGGAAUAUUGGACAAUGGGGGGAACCCUGAUCCAGCCAUGCCGCGUGUGUGAAGAAGGUCUUAGGAUUGUAAAGCACUUUAAGUUGGGAGGAAGAGCAGUUAACUAAUAUUUGACUGUUUUGACGUUGCCGACAGAAUAAGCACCGGCUAACUUCGUGCCAGCCGCCGCGGUAA
Molecule: ribosomal RNA, 506 nt
Filed under: uncultured bacterium
Lineage: Bacteria
Description: partial 16S ribosomal RNA
Rfam family: Bacterial small subunit ribosomal RNA
Source: RNAcentral